This 1878-nucleotide long non-coding RNA is filed under the name Olea europaea subsp. europaea. The record is from RNAcentral. Lineage: Eukaryota; Viridiplantae; Streptophyta; Magnoliopsida; Lamiales; Oleaceae.
CUCAUUUCACUCAUUUUUCUCACACCAAAAGCAAGAGCUUUUACAAACUAAAGAAAGAGUUUCCAAGAGAGAAAAAAAGAGGGAGGAAAACUAUUUUUCUAGAAGUUUAAGAAGUGUUUUCAAACAUUUUUCAUAAAAGUUUUGGGGUGCUAUCAAGGAGUGUCUUCAAGCAUCAAUUCUCAACGAUUUUCAAACAUCCGAGGAGUGCAUUUCUUUUAACGUCCAAGUUUCAUCGAAAUUUUCAAUCCAAGUUUUCAAAAUUUCAAAAGUAUCAAUCAAAGGUAGGUAGAGGUGCAAUGUGUUUAAUCGUGUUAAGUUAUAAGUUUCGAUUCAUGUUAAUGUUUGUAUAUCAAAUGGUACUCCGGUACGGCAUAUCCCUCUAUGUUAAUGGUUGUAUGUCAAAUGGCACUCCGAUACGGCAUACCCCUUUAUGUUGAAGAAAUGUUCAUAUGUCAAAUGGUGCCAUCGGGUACGGCAUACCCAUUCAUGUCAAAUGGUGCCUCCGGGUACGGCAUGUAUGAAAAGUUAUAAUGUUAAUGUUUUGAAAUGUAUAGCUUGAUCACGAAUGCACCUAUGACACCUAUUGAGUUUUUCAACUCACGGGUUUAAUCUCAUCUCUACAAAUUAAAGGAAUUCUACCUAGGGCAUGGAUGGAGAAGAAGAUGGAGAGUGAUGCAACGAGCCCAUGAAAAUCCGGUGAAUAAGUGAUUUGGAUUUAUUUUUAUGAAAUGCUUUCCAAUAUUAUUUCUUUAAAAUUUUGAAUAACGCAGAAUGCGAUAACAAGUUAAGUUUUCUUCAAAUAAAUUACAUUUUGUUGUUUUGAAAAAUGAUUCAAUGUUUUUCUUUAAAGUAUUUGAAGUAUUGUUAUUUAAAUUAUUAUUCGAAAAUGUAAGAUUCAGCUAAAACGUAUACACUUGUUACUAAACCACCGGUUAAACUAAGUAAAGUAGGUAGCGUUCCGGUCCACUAGGGGUCGGGGUGUUACAACAGAUCUAAUGGGACUGGUCACGGAUCAUUGCCAAAAAAGAAGAAAAAAGAAAAUGGUAUUCGCCGGAAAGAUUAACGAUCACCAAAACCAUCGUGGGGAGGUUGUCGGAAUUAUCGUCGAAGCGGUCACUGGUGUUAGAUAAAUUGCCGGAGUAUUCAUCGCAGCCGUCGUUGGAGGUGGGGGUGGGGUCGACGGAGAAAGAGAAGAGUUUGAUGUGAUAGGUGGGGGGUUGGAGGUGGAUGGGGUAAGUAGAUUAAUUAUUCUAUAUUAUAAUUAAUUAUUUAAUAUAUUUAAUUACACUUGAUUUUUGAAAAAAUUUAAAAGUUAGUUAGUUUUAAAAUGUGAUUUUUAAAUGGAGGAUUUAUGUGGUGUUCCCUUGUAAUAGGUGUCGAUAUAUACUCUUCGCCUAAAAAAGUCUUAGUUUGCUAUUUUGUCAAUAAAUUUAAUUAUAUUGAGUAAAGGAAGGACAACACUAUUGGGUUAUUUCCUUUUAUGAUAACGAAAGUUCAUUGAGAUUUUAACUGUAAUGAUGAAUAUAAAUACAAGAAGAUUGAAUAAAAUAGGAGUCCAACCCAUUUUUAAAUAGAAUAAAAACAGUUUUUUUGUCCUACAGCCAAAUUUCAUCAACACUCCGACCCGAGUCGUUCGUGGUUCGAUCAAGCUAAAAUUUGGAGGAGAGGAUCACAAGACAUAAAGCUACAAUCUGAACGGUGGAGAUCCAAUUUCGUGUUAGGGAACAUUGGUUACUGUGCGUUUACAAGAACCAAAUUUUUUUUUUAGCAUAUUUUUCCUAUUUUCAUAUUGUUUUGUCGAGAUUGUUGUUAUCUUGAAGAAAUAUAAGUUGUGACUAAAGAAGACUUGGUGUACCCAUUAUUUGAUUUAUAGUGGAG